UGCCAGCCGCCGCGGUAAUACGAAAGGUGCGAGCGUUAAUCGGAAUUACUGGGCGUAAAGCGCACGUAGGUGGCUUGGUAAGUCGGAUGUGAAAGCCCUGGGCUCAACCUGGGAAUUGCAUUCGAUACUGCUUAGCUAGAGUAUGAGAGAGGGUAGUGGAAUUCCGGGUGUAGCGGUGAAAUGCGUAGAUAUCCGGAGGAACAUCAGUGGCGAAGGCGGCUGCCUGGACCAAAAUUGACGCUGAGGCACGAAAGCGUGGGUAGCAAACAGGAUUAGAAA
Molecule: ribosomal RNA, 279 nt
Filed under: uncultured bacterium
Lineage: Bacteria
Description: partial 16S ribosomal RNA
Rfam family: Bacterial small subunit ribosomal RNA
Source: RNAcentral